UAAAGGAACAAAGAAGAUGCAAUUUAAUCUAUCAGUACAUAUAGAUUAUUGGUCAAGAUUCACUAGGGUUAACACUCACAUUUUUGGGUUUGUAAAUACACAGAAUAGCUAAGAUUUUUUUACAUGAAAGUAGAAGAGAAGUCCCUUGGGCAGAUAGCAACAGACAUGUGGUAAAUCCUAGGCAGACGCUCUGUUUGUGUCUGGUUGCAGCUGUUCUUUGAGGUGAUGGCAAGAGCAUAAAGGUGAGCUGGAAGAUUGGAUAGCAUGUAAAAAGUUCCUCCUACCCAGCGUCCAAUACACUUCACCCUUUGCACUAAUCACCUUCAGUCCUUCUGUGUUUAAAUUCCAAUACAUUCUACAGCCUUCAAGAUUGUGGCAUGCCUCAUUCUCUAGGAAAUAUUUAAUAAACAAAGUUAAUUGUAAUGAGCUUAAGUAAGUGGUUUUUAAGACCGUACUUAAUAUUUUUCCACUUCAGAAUUUUCUCAUUUUUAUCCAAUUCUUCAAAAUGUAUAGAUUUCUGGCAAAAUGGGAGUGGAGGGGGGGUGGUUCUAACUCAUUUAACUAAAGAGUAGGAGUCUUUAGUUGCCUUAUUCUUGUUAAGAUUUAGUUUUACAAUUGUUCAUUUACAGUUAUCAUUGGGCAUGAAACAUCCAGGAACACCCUAGGCAAUACCUUGAUGUACUCCAUGCUUCCACCAUUGUGUAGGAGCAAUCUCAAUAUCAUAUGGAUACAAUUAAGUCCUUUUCUCAGUGGUAGAAUUUUCUAGCUUUGGUCUGAAAAGGGGGUAUAGAUCUCAAUUUUUAAUAUGGCAGCUAAGUUAGACAUUUGCUCAGCAGCUUUCAAUUUUUUUUCUGGUUAGGGAAAUCAAUUAACACCUUAAUUAGCUCCCAUCUGUCUUAACAUUAAGCAAUAUUCUGAUCUAUUAGUCAUUCUUGCAGGUCCUUGUGGGUAAAGGCACCUGGUUGACUUUCUAAUCUUGAUGCUCAUUAUGACAGUUACUUUGAAACUAUUUCUGAUGAUAAGUGUUGAUCUUCUGGCCUCUUCAAUUACAGAAUCCAAGCCCAGUGGUCCUAGGGAGCUCAGUUCCAUGGCAGUGUCUUCUAAUGUCAGCUCUGGCCUAGAGAAGGAGGCACACCUGGGCUUCUCAGAGAUGUCAGCGUAUAUCUUAGCAGUUUAUUUUUUACUGUUAUUGAAAGAAAUACAAUAAUCUUUGCUUAUCUGAAGUUUCACUUUUCACAGUUGUAGUUACUUGUGAUCAAUCACAGUCUGAGAAUAUUAAAUAGAAAAUUCCAGAAAUAAUUCAGAAGUUUUAAAUGGUGCACCAUUUUGAGUAGCAUGAUGAAAUCUCAUGGUAUUUCACUCUGUCCCACCGGGGAUGUGAAUCAUGCCUUUGUCCAGUGUGUCCAUGCUGUAGACACUACCCACUCAUUAGUGAUGAAGUAUCCAUCUUACUUAUCAGAUCAAAAAAGCCAUAGUAUACAUAGGGUUCAGUACUAUCCAUGGUUUCAGGCAUCCACUGGAAAUCUUUGAACCACUGGCAAUGGGAAGCUUAUUGGAGUUUGGAGCAACAUUAUUCACCAAAACAAUAAGGGCCACUGCUGUCACUAAUUGUCUUCGUUUGGGUUACUUGGUUAAAACGUUCGUUUUGGCUUGGUUUCAUUGGUGGCUGGUCUUACACCUUAAAGCUCAGUUCGUUCCAUCUUUAGCAGAGCUCCUGGU
This 1719-nucleotide long non-coding RNA is filed under the name Homo sapiens (human). RNAcentral's name for it is "HSALNT0271870". The record is from RNAcentral. Lineage: Eukaryota; Metazoa; Chordata; Mammalia; Primates; Hominidae.